Molecule: microRNA precursor, 89 nt
Filed under: Canis lupus dingo (dingo)
Lineage: Eukaryota; Metazoa; Chordata; Mammalia; Carnivora; Canidae
Description: mir-8799 microRNA precursor family
Rfam family: mir-8799 microRNA precursor family
Source: Rfam by way of RNAcentral
GAGGGAGCGCCGGAUCCUGGGCUGUGUCCUCCUGCCCUGGGCUCCCGAGCCUGCGCUGUUGGAAUCGUACCCCGGCCAUGCAGCCUCUU